This 254-nucleotide ribosomal RNA is filed under the name uncultured microorganism. RNAcentral describes it as "partial 16S ribosomal RNA". It matches the Rfam family "Archaeal small subunit ribosomal RNA", at positions 474 to 727 of the family's 1478-position model. The record is from RNAcentral.
CACCGCCGGCUCGAGUGGUGGCCACUUUUAUUGGGUCUAAAACGUCCGUAGCCGGCUUGGCAAGUCCCCUGGGAAAUCUGGCGGCUUAACCGUCAGGCGUCCAGAGGAUACUGCCAGGCUUGGGACCGGGAGAGGUGAGAGGUACCUCAGGGGUAGGGGUGAAAUCUUGUGAUCCCUGAGGGACCACCAGUGGCGAAGGCGUCUCACUAGAACGGGUCCGACGGUCAGGGACGAAAGCUGGGGGCACGAACCGG